Molecule: ribosomal RNA, 253 nt
Filed under: uncultured bacterium
Lineage: Bacteria
Description: partial 16S ribosomal RNA
Rfam family: Bacterial small subunit ribosomal RNA
Source: RNAcentral
UACGGAGGGUGCAAGCGUUACUCGGAAUUACUGGGCGUAAAGAGCACGUAGGCGGUUUGAUAAGUCUGAUGUGAAAGCCCUGGGCUCAAUCCAGGAAGUGCAUUGGAUACUGUCAGGCUAGAAUAUAGGAGGGGUAAGUGGAAUUCCUGGUGUAGAGGUGAAAUUCGUAGAUAUCAGGAGGAACAACGGUGGCGAAGGCGACUUACUGGACUAUUAUUGACGCUGAGGUGCGAAAGCGUGGGGAGCAAACAGG